GUGUAGCCGGUGCUUUUCUGUCGGAACGUCAAAACAGCAAAGUAUUAAUUUACUGCCCUUCCUCCCAACUUAAAGUGCUUUACAAUCCGAAGACCUUCUUCACACACGCGGCAUGGCUAGGAUCAGGCUUUCGCCCAUUGUCCAAUAUUCCCCACUGCUGCCUCCCGUAGG
Molecule: ribosomal RNA, 171 nt
Filed under: uncultured bacterium
Lineage: Bacteria
Description: partial 16S ribosomal RNA
Source: RNAcentral